This 263-nucleotide ribosomal RNA is filed under the name uncultured bacterium. RNAcentral's name for it is "partial 16S ribosomal RNA". It matches the Rfam family "Bacterial small subunit ribosomal RNA", at positions 524 to 786 of the family's 1533-position model. The record is from RNAcentral.
UACGUAGGGAGCGAGCGUUGUCCGGAUUUACUGGGUGUAAAGGGUGCGUAGGCGGGACUGCAAGUCAGGCGUGAAAUACCGGGGCUUAACUCCGGGGCUGCGCUUGAAACUGCGGUUCUUGAGUGAAGUAGAGGCAGGCGGAAUUCCUAGUGUAGCGGUGAAAUGCGUAGAUAUUAGGAGGAACACCAGUGGCGAAGGCGGCCUGCUGGGCUUUAACUGACGCUGAGGCACGAAAGCAUGGGGAGCAAACAGGAUUAGAUACC